This 73-nucleotide transfer RNA is filed under the name Prevotellaceae bacterium. Its description in RNAcentral is "tRNA-Lys". It matches the Rfam family "tRNA". Rfam says of the family: Transfer RNA (tRNA) molecules are approximately 80 nucleotides in length. Lineage: Bacteria; Pseudomonadati; Bacteroidota; Bacteroidia; Bacteroidales; Prevotellaceae. The record is from RNAcentral.
GACUCCGUAGCUCAGUUGGUAGAGCAAUUGACUCUUAAUCAAUGGGUCGAGAGUUCGAGCCUCUCCGGGGUUA